AUGGUGAGGAAGUACCAGAGGCGAUCGUCAAACAGUAUGCCAACUAUUGCCAACUAGCGACUACCUGUCCGGCGAAGUGGACAGUGUGCCACUUCUGUAUCUUUGAGAUUCAGAGCUCUGGGAGCUUCACUGUCCUUACCUCCGAUAUGUACGUCCACUGCCAUCAUUAUCAUAAUGUAAGGCGGGACUGGUGUUCGUUGCAACGAGACCGGCUGCAGAGUGAGAGCACGUGCAGGCCGUGACCAGGCCCUACACGAACAUUUUUGCCACAGGCUCAUUCCAGGUUGGUGGAAGAAGUAUCUCUGACGGACCAGAGGCAGGAAUGGUAUCAAAAGAUAGCAGUCGUGGGUCAAAGGCCGGCUGAGGAGUGUGACCGCAUUGAAGGGAAAUACUUGCAAUCAUGUUUUGCCAUCUUACAUUUGCCACGAAAAUUAGUAUAGAACUCCUAACACUGUUGCUGGGCUCAUGUUGAGCAGAAACAUGCUCCACAACCAUGUGAUUGACAUGUCUGGUUUAUCUGGAACCAGUUCAAUAGUAUCCGGGCUGUGGAUUUGAAUAUGUAAAUUGUUCUGUAUCUCAUCUUGACAAUCCAAUCAAGCUUUGAAGGUCUCUCUUUUUUCCUUGCAUGCUUGGUAUUAUCCGAAGAGUUACAAUAUCUGUGUGAGGCAUCUUU
Long non-coding RNA from Lolium perenne, 673 nucleotides. RefSeq lists it as uncharacterized. The record is from RefSeq and is a predicted model, not a curated record. NCBI's taxonomy places the organism in Eukaryota, Viridiplantae, Streptophyta, Magnoliopsida, Poales, Poaceae.